AUAAGUAUGUUAUUCUAUUUUG
RNAcentral lists this microRNA (22 nucleotides) under Drosophila sechellia. Its description in RNAcentral is "dse-miR-2498a-5p". Lineage: Eukaryota; Metazoa; Arthropoda; Insecta; Diptera; Drosophilidae. RNAcentral also lists the same sequence under 1 other name. The record is from miRBase by way of RNAcentral.